AGAAAUCCCACAUCGCUUCUUCUGACCAGAUCCAAAGAAAGAGAUCUUCCAAGAGAGAUCGCCACAGCAAGAUUAACACAGCUCAAGGACCUAGAGACCGCAGAAUGAGAUUGUCUCUCAAAGUUGCCCGCGAAUUCUUUGAUCUGCAGGACAAGCUAUGCUUUGAUAAAGCUAGCAAAACUGUUGAGUGGCUGCUCAUACAGGCAAGACCAGCAAUCAAGAAACUAUCUAGUGGCCUCCCCCAGUUCAAUUACAGCUCCAGUGUUGGCACCAAGAGUGCAUCAUCUACUUCAGAGUGUGAAGUGGUAUCUGGAAUUGAUGAUGAGGCAGCUGCCAUUAAAGCCACCACCAAGAUUUCUAAUGCUAAAACCUCAUCAUCAUCAUGCGUUAACAAUAAGGGGAAAAAGGCUAAACCAUCACGUAAAGCUGCAUUCGAUCCACUAGCAAGAGAGUCGAGGGAGAAGGCAAGAGCAAGAGCAAGAGAGAGAACAAGAGAAAAGCAGUGGAAUCGAAAAAUCGACAAAUCAAAGCUAUGUGAAGAAGCCAAAAACCUUGAAUUGAACCAAUUAAACUGUUUGAGUCCCUUUGAAAUAGGUGAAGAAUCUGGCACACAAAGUCACACCAUGAAUCCUAAUUCCUUGGAGAUGCUGGCACAUGAAGUGGAAGUACCAAGCUCACACGAGCAAGACAGGUUAGUAACCACAGAGAGCAUGAUUGAUGAUUCAUUGUUGAUCAUGGGAAAGUGGAGCCCAUAUUCUUCCAUUAUCAAUCACCUGUACAACACUGCCAUGCCUCAAGAGCAUCAAAUCACAGACUUGCAAUCUUUCUUCAAGUCAUUGGAGGCGCCCUAUAACAGUUAGAUGAUGAUAUGUCAAGUCAAGUGGACACUUGAUUUCAAGAAUACUAUGUAUGGCUUUUCUUUCUGUUUGGAAUUAAUGUAAAAUAAAGAACUGUAUUUUUCUUUCUGCAAUUUUCUUGUGAACUGUUU
Molecule: unclassified non-coding RNA, 988 nt
Filed under: Hevea brasiliensis (rubber tree)
Lineage: Eukaryota; Viridiplantae; Streptophyta; Magnoliopsida; Malpighiales; Euphorbiaceae
Source: RNAcentral